Molecule: ribosomal RNA, 253 nt
Filed under: uncultured bacterium
Lineage: Bacteria
Description: partial 16S ribosomal RNA
Rfam family: Bacterial small subunit ribosomal RNA
Source: RNAcentral
UACGUAGGGGGCAAGCGUUGUCCGGAAUCAUUGGGCGUAAAGAGCGUGUAGGCGGCCCGAUUAGUCCGCUGUGAAAGUCCAGGGCUCAACCCUGGAAUGCCGGUGGAUACUGUCGGGCUAGAGUCCGGAAGGGGCGAGUGGAAUUCCCGGUGUAGCGGUGAAAUGCGCAGAUAUCGGGAGGAACACCAAUGGCGAAGGCAGCUCGCUGGGACGUGACUGACGCUGAGACGCGAAAGCGUGGGGAGCAAACAGG